UAACGCGUGAGAAUCUGGCUCUAGGUCUGGGACAACCACUGGAAACGGUGGCUAAUACCGGAUGUGCCGAGAGGUGAAAGGUUAACUGCCUAGAGAUGAGCUCGCGUCUGAUUAGCUAGUUGGAAGUGUAAAGGACUCCCAAGGCGACGAUCAGUAGCUGGUCUGAGAGGACGAUCAGCCACACUGGGACUGAGACACGGCCCAGACUCCUACGGGAGGCAGCAGUGGGGAAUUUUCCGCAAUGGGCGAAAGCCUGACGGAGCAAUACCGCGUGAGGGAGGAAGGCUCUUGGGUCGUAAACCUCUUUUCUCAGGGAAGAACAAAAUGACGGUACCUGAGGAAUAAGCAUCGGCUAACUCCGUGCCAGCAGCCGCGGUAAUACGGAGGAUGCAAGCGUUAUCCGGAAUGAUUGGGCGUAAAGCGUCCGCAGGUGGCGAUGUAAGUCUGCUGUUAAAGAGUCUAGCUCAACUAGAUAAGAGCGGUGGAAACUACAUAGCUAGAGUACGUUCGGGGCAGAGGGAAUUCCUGGUGUAGCGGUGAAAUGCGUAGAGAUCAGGAAGAACACCGGUGGCGAAGGCGCUCUGCUAGGCCGUAACUGACACUGAGGGACGAAAGCUAGGGGAGCGAAUGGG
Molecule: ribosomal RNA, 632 nt
Filed under: uncultured cyanobacterium
Lineage: Bacteria; Bacillati; Cyanobacteriota
Description: bacterial SSU rRNA
Rfam family: Bacterial small subunit ribosomal RNA
Source: RNAcentral